UUCAUGGUUAAUUUUGGGAUGUCCAACGGUACGGUUUGUGGAAACAUAAUGAUCGGUUACGAUAUGAAUUCCAUCCUAUGAAUGUUCUUGUGUAAUUCGAGAAUAGGUUCGAUCCAACGGUUGAUACGGAGUGUCCAUGUGUAUUUUGAAUAGGUCCAAUCCAACGGUUGAUACAGAGUGUCCAUAUGUAGUUUGAAUAGGUCCAAUCCAACGGUUGAUACAGAGUGUCCAUGAAUAGUUUGAAUAGGUCCUAUCCAACGGUUGAUAUGGGGUGUCCAAGUGAAUUGAUAUGUAUCCAAGAAUCAUGCUUUCUAUUCACAACGGUUUUUGUCGAUGGUGCCUACUUUUCAGGUUGCUGUUGCCAAUGGUGCCAAUAGUUCUAUAUACAUAUAUAUAAACCAAAAAAUAUAUAAAACCAGUAAUAUAUUAAACAAAAUUUGAAUGCAAGUCAUGCUCAUCAAGGUCAUAAUAUCUGCCAUAAAAGGGGGGUUUAGAUAAAGUCAUGUCUAAUAACCAAAAAUCAAGGGGUCAUAUUUACAUAUAUAUAUACA
Molecule: long non-coding RNA, 551 nt
Filed under: Mytilus galloprovincialis (Mediterranean mussel)
Lineage: Eukaryota; Metazoa; Mollusca; Bivalvia; Mytilida; Mytilidae
Source: RNAcentral